This 2217-nucleotide long non-coding RNA is filed under the name Drosophila guanche. The record is from RNAcentral. Lineage: Eukaryota; Metazoa; Arthropoda; Insecta; Diptera; Drosophilidae.
GUAUUUUUUGCAUUGAAAAUUUGCUCAAUUUGAAGUGUGGUUUUUUUGCGAAUGAAUGGAACAAAAACUAACCGAAAAAAUACCUGAGUAGCUAGCUAUACGACUAUUUGUAUAUAUACUUUGUAGCCCCUUAACCCACUAACAGACUUUACUCCAAAGCAAAAAAGGAUUUCUUACCAUUUUCCAACUCUACAAAUGCACAUAGCUACCUAAAUAUAUAUCUACCAUAUAUACAUAUGAAUAAGUAUAUAAUAGACACAAUUUCUACAAACAAGAAAACAUAUUUAUUUUUAUACAAGAGCGAGGAAGAGAGACAAAGUAAGUCAGAGUGAGAGAGAGAGGUGAGAUGGCGAGUGCGAGAGAAGGAUUUGAAUCGCAACAACAGAUUUUGAGUUUCUUUCGUUUGGGUAUUGUCUUUUCUUUAAACCAACUUGAAAUGUUUUCAAACGUUUUUCAAAAUGUCUGAUAGCGGGACCAUUCUUUUAAGAUUUACCACUGUUCUUUACAAACAAAAGGAAGUAGCAGGCAGAAAUGGGUUCCAAAACUGAGAAGAAAAACCUUGAAACCGCGCAGAGGGCUAAGUGUCAAAGAGCAGUGGUAAAUGUGCUUAGCAGUAAGGUACCAAAUUAUCAGCUGAAAUUGGGAUCAUAGCUUUAUUAAGGUAGUCAAUAAAUGUACGAACACGUGGCAGGCCCAUACAUAUGCUGCAGGAUGUGUAUAAAGAAGGAGUUCCAGGUGCAUGCCGUGGCUGUCUACACACAACACAAACAGAGCAACAUAAUCUACUCUAACUAACCUUUAACAAAAACAAGUAAUAAUAUCUAUAAUAAAUACAUAAAUAAAGUAAAAAUAAUUGUAUAUCAAACUUGAACGCUCAAAGCGAUACGUAUACACAAAUAUUUAUAGAAAACUCUCUCAUAAAACUGUACAAAAUAAAUAAAUAUAAAUUAGAGUUAGUUGUAGCCGAAAAUGUUGUGCAACCUUCAAGCGAGGAACAUGUUGUGCAAACUUCAAAGCAAGGAACAUGUUGUGCAAACUUCAAAGCGGAAAAAAUGUUGUUAUUAAUCUCAAUGUUGAACUAAAAACCAACUAACAGUUACAAACGUUAACCAACUAUUCGAACAUACAUACAUACAUAUGGUACAUACAUAUAUGAGAUUUAUGAUUCAAUGUUAUUAGCAAAAUGUAGCCUUAGUGGUAUGUACGUACGUACGUUAUACAUAUGUAUAUGUAAUUCCAGCCAACACACUUCUCUGACAAAUGAAUCCUAGCCAUUAUUUUGACCCUUAGCUGGUGCAAGAAUAUAAAAUACAUAAAAGCAUACAUAUACAUACAUAUAUGAAACUAUAAAAGUUGAAAGCAAUCAUUACAUUUAAAUAUAAUAUAUAAAUACGAACAAUAUACGGGCAGGCAACGGCUUGUACUUAGUUUUGCGUUUUCAAUAUUUUUGUUCUGUUAAGAGCAGCAUUUGCUGUUAAGCGCAACAUCUGUUAUGAGUAACAGGGAAUUUGUUAUGACCUGUACGAACUGUUAGCAAGAAGGAAGAAAUUGUUCUUGCCCCGACCAAAUAUUUUAAAGGAUUUUUAUGUUUGAAUUUGUGUUUUAUACAUACUAAAAUAUGUGUUAAUAAAUAUAUUGUUCUUUCAUUUUGUUCAAUUAAUUGGGAAAGUUUUUUUUUGUUGCAAACCGAUGCCUGCCUAAUAGACAUAAAUACAAAUAUGUAACAAGAAUAAAUUGUGUGUAAAUAACAAAAAAAAAAAGGGGCACAGGAUGCAAUAUUUGAUUUAGAAUAAUUAGCCAAGCACAGUAACUAAAAUCAAAAACCGAAGAGCCACAAGAACCAACUAGUCCCAUCCUUAGCUAUCCUAUCCUAACAGCCCACAAAAUACUAUACAUAAACUGUAAAUAACUUUGUUUCAUCUUUUUCAUUUAAUAAGCUAACUAAUGUUUACUCUGAAUAGUUUUCGCAAAAUCAAAAGAAACAAAAAGCCAGAAGAUAAAGCCUGCUAAUUAAAUCUUUUUAAUUUUCCUACUAUGUUAAACUCAAACAUUAAAUAAUGCAUAUAUUCAAAUGUAUUGUUAUUGUGGGGCCUGGUGACCCAUUUGAGAUGAAAUGAAUAUGGCUGAGGUGUAUGCUUAUUACGAAAUACUUUCAAGUAAAUUAUAAUAACACCAUAUGACUUUUAAUAUACUAAUAAAAAUUCUUAAUAAACCUAA